Molecule: long non-coding RNA, 1712 nt
Organism: Phyllostomus discolor (pale spear-nosed bat)
Lineage: Eukaryota; Metazoa; Chordata; Mammalia; Chiroptera; Phyllostomidae
Exons: 2
Source: RefSeq, a predicted model, not a curated record
UGAGCAGAAGAUACGUGGUCGAAGGUGGGCUUUAGGAAGGCUAAUGUAGGCCAAAAGGGUAGGGAGAAGAAAUCAGGAAGUGGCUGCAGUGUCAGAGUGAAGGGUAGCAGGGGCCUGGCCUGCAUAUGAGGGAAGUGAGCAGUGGGCCUGGAAGAUUAUUUGUUCCUCAUGACAGCCUUGAGAGGUACAGAGUUUUCUUCUCCUUUUAUAGAUGAGGAAUGGGAGACUCAGAAAAGGGGAGCUGCUUGCUCGGGACUUGAGCCCUGGUUCAUGUGAUUUGGUUGACUCAGGGGCUCUGUGGAACAAUGUGUCAGAGGGAACUCUGAGUAUGAGGAGGCUUGUGUGUGCAUGCGUGUGUGUGUGCGUGUUUGUGUGCACAUGUGUGUGUGCAUGCUUGUCUGUCUGUGAGAUGGACAGCAGUGCCUUCCCUUGCCUAUCCUCUUUCCUUCCCACUUCUUCCUAAUCCUCCACUUUCCUAGAUUCCGUACCUACUGCCUCCCCCAAGCCCAGGGGUCCAGAAGUGGGGUGAUAAUGUUUCAUUGGGUCUCCUCAGAAGAUCAGGCUCAUCACUCCAAGGCACCUGCCCCUCCUCCACCACCGCUCCCAGCUCUGCUGUCUGGCCAUCCACCUCAUGAAGCUAUAGCGAAGCUCCAGUGACUGCCACAUGCAGACUGGCCCUUGGUACCGCUGUGUGGUACCCUAGGGUACUGUGUAUCUGCAGUGACUCCUCCCUGCCUCUGUGGCACUUCUGUGUGGGUGUAAGCGGCCACCUUGGGAAUUAGAUUCAGCUAAUGAGCAGUGAACAAUAACCACCACCGGGUUCCCAUUGCUCUUAUUUGCGAGGCACUUGACAUAUGUUCCAGUCCUUUCAACAAUCCAGUGGGGUUGGCACAUGAGCCCCAUUUUUGCAGACGAGAAAACUGAGGCUUCAAGAGGGGUGAUAAUACACCUGGGAACACGGCCUGGAAGCACUGGUAGAGCUGGCAUUGCAACCCAGGGAAGAGGAGGAGGAGGAGACUGAGGAAGAGGAAGAGGAAGACGCUCAUCAGUUCUGCUGUCCGGCCUCCGAGUGCAGCAGUCCCUCCUCUCGGUAACUGAGAGGACAAGGGUCAUUUUCUAUGCAGAAGCAAAAGCCUUAACCAGUCCCCCAUGCCCCCCUCCCCGCAAUUCCCCAUGGCACUCCAUCCCUGCUUCAAGAACCAGAUGGGCAAGCAUCGUGCCCCUUCCUCCCCCACCUCCUUCUUCGAAUUCCUACCCCUACUGCUGCCUCCCCUGGACUCCAGCCCCCAAAUUAUAAAUGCUGGAGCCCUAGGUCUGACUCAAAUGUGGGAGCAGCAAAGCUUGGAGCUUGGAACCUGGACCCUCCCGCAACUGCACCCCGCUUCCCAGGCACCCUGAAGCCUGCCACUCCUGGAGAGGUCUCCAAAUAACAUCCCAAGGACCUACCUCUGUCCUCUGUGAGCACAAACAGAGAUGCAGGGUGCCUAGGGCUCGGAGGACCAGAUGGGGCAGGACCCAGCCUGCCUAAUUCCCCAUCACUUGUUCCCUUGCUGUGGCCAUUGCUGCCAUCUCUCCCACUGCUUGAAGGCCUUGUCCCAUGCCCCCUGCCACUCCCAUAAUGCUCUGUAAAUAUGAUCAGGAGGAAAAGGCCUUUCAGAGUGCGUGCUGCUGUGUACAAAGGAAUUUCCAUCAAUAAAAGCUGAUCUCUUCUC